Long non-coding RNA from Pseudopipra pipra, 10368 nucleotides. RefSeq lists it as uncharacterized. NCBI's taxonomy places the organism in Eukaryota, Metazoa, Chordata, Aves, Passeriformes, Pipridae. The record is from RefSeq and is a predicted model, not a curated record. The transcript is spliced from 6 exons.
UAACUUCGUAGUGGAUGGAAAGACUAUGUUUCUGGGAAAACAAGGCUGUUGGUAUACUCAAGGUGAUUUCUGUCCACCCUUUGUGAUCUUUAUGCCACAAACAGUGGCACUGAGGUCGUUGUCAGUUACCUGUGUGCAACGCAAGUGCACCUGGAGGGCACUUUAAACCAGCUGUUGUCAAGUCUUGCACUGUCACACGGGCAAGAUGAGCCUUUGGAGAAAAGUUACUCCUACCUUCUGCCCAGGCAACAGGCUCUGCUAAGGCAGGGACUGAUUUUGUCUUCUAAACCUUUGAAAUUGAGUUUAAAUUGGUUGAGGCCAGCAUUGUCUUUGUUCUGUUUGUGCAGAGCCCAUCACAGCAAACACCAGCCUAUGAUCUAGCUCUAAUGCGUUGUGGUGGUGUGGAAGGCCAGAUAUCCAUAUCAAAAGUUAACUAUUUCUUACUGAAAACCCCUGUCAUCACCUUGUACAUGUUUGAAUUUUGGUUUAUGUCAGUCAUGGGUGACUCUUUGGAGUAUACAUAACUCUCACAAGAUCAUUCACUGAGGCUGCCAGUUAUUUCUGUUUGCAGAUGACCCUGUUAAAUACUGCACCUCUCACUAUCACAAUCUUUCAACCCUAUCAAAAUCCUCAUGAUUAUUUCCUGGAGUUUGUUACUCCUGUAUUAGCAUGACUGAUACAAGUGUAUUAUUAGAUUUCCCUUUUUUAAUCCAACCUGAGCACCAGUAUUUGAGGAGCAAACAGGUAACCUCACUGAUUACACAAGAAGUUGCUUGUGCACAAGCAGCAUUUUAUUUCUUAUUCUCUUUGGUAUUUUAACAAGGGCAAUCAACUUAUUUCUGCAUUUUCUUGUGAGAUUUUGCCUUCUGGGUAAAGAGCAUCCUUUAUCUCUCCUUCUCCCCCUUUUCCCAGACAACCUUCUGCUGUGCUGGGAAGAUGGAAUGUAUCGGUGAUAUCCCUUUCAGAAAAUAUGUUCAUCAUAUAUCACAAGUAUUGUCAUUAUGAUGUAUUAAUAUAAUGCAUCAUCAGAGAGCUGUCAGGGUGAAGAUUUAUUACCCUAAAAUAAGUAAUAGUGAGACACUGAGGAAUGGGUUGACAGAUUUUUUGUUUAUUUUUCUAAAUUAAGGACUUUUAAAGUAAGUUUUAAAAUCUCUUACCUUCAUGAAGUAGUAGAGUUGGGAGGCUCACGGAAGAGAGGACUUGAAUCAAAAACACCACAACUCAAGAGACCUCAUAGAAUAAGAAUGUAAUAAUUUUUCUCCCCUAGUAGUUUCUAUGAAGUCUGCAAAGUUUAAGUUUCCAACAUGGAUGAGAACUAGUGGGCAGCCAAAUUCAUUUUAGUCAACCUGAACUGGACUUUAUUGUUUCUCCUUUGAAGAAAACAGAGCCACCAAAGCAUGAAGACUUGAGCUAAAAUAGGCAAACCGGCUUAAAAUGGUCUAAAAAUAAUUACAUUUUAGUACAAAAGGCUAUUUCCUUAUCAGGUGUGUCCAGUGGACUUACCAUAAACCUGAUAAAAACGCCCUGAAAUCAGGGAGAGCUUUUCACCAGGUUUGCACAGACUUUGGAUCAAGGCCCUUUUUUGCAUCAUGUGGUGAAGCCAUGAAACUUGGCACAUUUAUAGCGUUGUAACAUAAAGCCAUCUGUGUACAAGUACAAACUUUUCCUUAUUGCCAAAGUGCUUAAUGUAAUUACAAUCAGGCUUGCUUCCCCUCUGCUCAGUUCAUCCAUAUGCUGAGAUGGAUGAAAACUUGCAUGGUAAAGAAUCCCACAGCAUCUGAGUUUGCGUGCCGCUUACAGCAGUGUGCAUUGCUAACCUUGUAAAUCUUAGGCACUUUUGCAUUUUAGGAACACACAUAAAGUUACAGACUGACUUACAGGAAAAUUGGCAACAGAAAUAUGCAAAAAAAUUCAGCCUGGAUUCUUUUUUUGCUAACUAACUCCACACGGCACCUGACUUAGGAGCUCAGUUGCCCUCGCUUCCCUGUGUAGUCGAUGAGGAGUCAAGAGGUGUCACAGAGUUUGGAUGCCCAAGACAGGAAUUGCCUUCAGGAGGUGACUUUUACUCUUUGAUGGCUGGAGAAUGAAUACAGAGGUCCUGUUUAGCUUGUUCACUGCUGUGUUGCAUUAAUUUUGAGAGGUGGUAAGCAUCUGCUAAGUAGUUGCUUCAUCUCAAAAUUGAAUCUGUGUUGACUUCAACUGUGUUCAAAUGCAAUGUUAUCCCAUGGCAUUUAUUGUAUCCAUGCAUUUCCUGUAUCAUGAUAUUUGCAUUCAGUUUCUUUAAUACUGAAUAUAAUUUUGGUCAGUGUAAGUUCAAUACCAAGGUUGCUUAUAGGUUAAUGAAUGCACUGUGCUUGCUGCUGACUGACGUAAUUACUGGAUAGGUGGUACACUGAACUUGACCCUACAGCCCACAGACAUGUACUUGACUUUAUCAGCAGGGAGGGCAUAUCCAAAAGGAAUAUUAACAUUAAAAAGAAACAUAUGCAGUGGAAUGCAUUUGCAGGCACAGGGAAUAAGUUUUCAGGGAAAAAAAUUGCUGAAGGCAAAAGGUGGUUAUGCCAGAAAAGUCCACAAAUUUCUCUUCCUAAAGGAGAAUAAUGAUAAGCUACUUAAUUUUGGUCAAUUUUAGGAAGAUAGUUUACUUAAUUACCUAAAAUGUAGGUGUGAAAUGAGUGCCAAACUUAUGCAAAUUACCUCUACCUGUAGUCCUUUAAAAACUCAGCUGCUAUCAAUAUAGGAAAAUCCUUUCCUCUUCCAUAAACCUCAGAAUGGUUUAAUCAUGUAUAGUGACACAGAUACAUUGGCUCAAGCCAAAUUUAUUUGGAGAUGUUAUCAGAAAUGGGUAUGUGCAGAUGCUCAUAAAGCACCUGCACUUUGCAAAUGCCAAAUAACCUGUUUCUGCACUUAGAGAAAGCUUUACUGGCUCUUCAUUAGGCUGUGUAGGUAUGUGCUUAUGGUUAAAAAUGCAGUCUUCUGUAUGGACACUAUAUCUCCAUCUCAAAUCUAGCAGAGAUUUGCUUUUCUAAACUGAGAUUUAAGAAAAGCACAAAUUAUGAAUAGUUGUAACCAGUCAAAAAUUUUUAUAGCGUGUGCUUGUGAUCAACUAAUCUGAUUAAUGGAAGAAGGGGGGGGCCUGAUCCUCUGUCAGAAGGAUGAGCUUGUAGGAUCACCUUAUGAAACAUAGGAAGAUUUGUGUUAGUAUCUGCAGUCUGCUGAUAAUAGUAUAUUUCCUAAUUUUGUGAUGCCAAAAGAAAGGACUUCUGACUCAAUAUGCAAGUGUUAGGAGGCAAAUAAUUCUUUCAUUCGAAGAUUUCUAUGGGAUGUUGUCACAUAUGCUACAAAUCAGAACUUUAAGUGUUUGUGGUGCAUAGAUGUUGGAGUUAUAAGGGGUUUGCCCAAAAUCCUGCCCCCUCUGUGAGUAGGGUUUCACUCAGAUUUAGUAUUCGUCAUGGCUGCUGCUCAGAUCACCAGUUAAAACAACCUUAGGUCAGUACAUUUUAAAGGAGGUAAAACAUCUUGAAGAGACCAUAUGAGAUCUAUCACAGAAAACCACUGAUAACUCCACAUCUUAUUAGCUUCAAUUAAGUAUUUCCAUAGGGAAUCAUGGAACUGUUUAGAGUCAUGAUGACACAUACACACACUUUGUUCCAUCCAAAGAAAUAAUCUGUUUUCCAGAUUUCCAAAUAGCCAAGUUAUUUUGUUAUUGUUUGGGGUUGGUUUUUUUCCUCUGCUUUCAAGAGAAAUAAUUUAUAAGAACUUAUCUUGAGCUUGCUACAGAUUUAAAAGGAGAAAAAAGUUUUCUCCUGUCCGACUUUUAAAUUAUAUGCAUGACCAAAGAUAAAUAUGUUUUUUAUUUAUAACUGUGGAUAGAUGCCAAACAAAGCCUUUGAUAUGACACACCGCUGCUGUAGUAGAGGAGUACUUAAAACAGUUCCAGUCAAGUUAGGCCCCAAGACUUUUCAUGCAACUUCAUGCAAAAUGGCUAAGACCUUUCAUUUAUUAUUUCUUUUCUUUCCUUUUGAACAUCCUCAAAGGUUAGAAGUGCAACAUGCUUAGAGGAUGCCAGGCUUCUUCCUGUCGAGCUGAGAUGGCCUGAAAAGCACAUUGAAACACGGGGAAACUGCAGCUACCACAGAUUGCAGAUGAAGGUUUUUUUCUUUGCAGGCCGUAGAUCUCUCCUGCCCUUCCCUGCGUGGUUAGUAACAGCUAGAUGAAGGUUAUGGAUGGAGACUGGCAAAGCAAAGGAUUGGUGUGCUGUUUUGAGACUGGGAUGAAUGGGCUUUGACAAUACUGCUGAAUAGGAGUACUUGUGGAGCUAAUACAGUUUGUAAUUGUCAGAGCUGAAAAGUUAAAACAUGGUUAUAAACCGUGCCUAGGAUCAGCUUAUGUCAGCUUUAAAUGAUUUAAAAGUCUAGUGUCUGGAGCUGCAUCUUACUUGCCUGCAAAACUCCUUAAAGAAGACUUACAGAAUGGCAUAAGCAUGUCUCUCCUUUCUUGUGUAUUUAUUGUGAAAAGUAACCCUUUGUUUAGCUGACAGGAGACAGGUUUUUAAGACAGAUGUGAAGCAAAGACUUCCAGAUAAGUCGAAAAAUAUGGAAUUUUCCAGUUUAAAUACAAGGAGACAAUUGCCUGGUAACAGUAACUUUUAGAAACUACUGUUUUCCUUUGUUUUAUGCAAGGAGAGGCUAUGAAUGGUUGGGUGCUGAUGCAUCUUGGGCAUAUGGUGGUUUUGUGCUGUGCCAGGCUUGGAACUUGGUUUUACGCGUGGAUGUGAGGAAGGCCUGUAAAGGAUGCAAACUUCUCUGAGAGGAGAUAAGGAGCAUAAGAAAGCAUCCUCUGUUACCUAGAGCCUGCCAUCAUUAGGCCUGACCCUUGGUCAUUAUCCCCUGGUAUCUGCAGCAGACAAUGACCUUUGAUGACACUGCACAACAGCAUGCAAAAGAAAUGCCUGCCUUUGAAUUUUGGCUCCCGAAUGCCAAACGUAGGAGCUUCUUCUCCAUGCUGUUUCCAGCCUUCAUUUAUGCAAACACAUGUCCAAAAAUUUAAAUGCUACUAAAUAAUGCUUAGCAACACUGUUUGGGUACUAAAGAGGUUCUAAUCUAGGUUCUAACUUUGCUAGAAGUAGCUCUGUCUUCCCAUCAUCUGAGAGUCUGGAGUAGGCUGGAAGCAACUAAUUUACCAUGUAAUAAGAUAGGUUCCUGUUGACACAAUUCAAGGGCAAAACUAUUAAGUCAUUAGGGCUAAUGUUGUAACAUUCUGAUACAAAGGCAUGGCCUGGGCCUUUCAGAUGUACCUCUGACCUUUUGAGGAUUAAGUUUCUUCGCAGUUUUUUUUUGGUAUUUGAAAUCUGUCUUUUUUUUUUUCCUUCGGCUUCACAGGCAUUGAUCUUUGGCCUUGUGCUAGUACAGCUUGUAGAGCAGCAUCUGUAGUCCUGAUUUGUCCCAGUUUUAGCAAAGAAAGUAAGGAUAGAAAAGUCAACACAUUCUUAAUCCCGCAAUACUAAAACUGCAUCGUGUAUUCCUUGGCUCAGCACUGCCCAUGUCACAGCUUGGUUCAAAGGACUGCUGGUAAAAGCAAUCCAGGGAAAUAGGGGUGGCUCUCGGGAUUCUUCCACAAAAUAGAGAAGCUGACAAUUGCUUAAAACUAUCUAGAUGUCAUUUAAAUAGAUACAAUACAAAUGUGUCUUGCUGCAGCCUUCUGAUAUUCUGAUAAAAUAACUUUUCUCAAAUCUACUGGCAUUGCCAGUAACCAGAUGAUUAUUUCAACCAUUGAAUUCUGCAGCUCAGCACCAGGUCUGCACUUGUUUCACUUCUGUUGUGUGGGCAAGGGAAGUGCAAUGGGAACUCAAAACUCAUCCCGCUGUCAUACUUACUAUCUCUCAGGAUUGGUUCACUUAAUGUCAACUUCAUUUACUGCUGAUAUUUUUGGCUUUAUGCUUUUCUUUUAUGAGUCACUCUCUGAAAUAAGGAGCCACAAAGUGUUCUCCCCUGGACCUGUGCUGGGUUGUGUAUCCAUUUGCCACCACUCUGAAGGAUAACUGUUCUCCAGGUGAGAACAGCCUUACCCAUAGGCAAGCUUCACGACCUUCAUUGUAACAAACCUUUUUUUGUUUUCCAGAUGCAUGAAGAAAACAAAUCAAAGGACACCUCAAGCUGUUGCAUAAGUCUGAUGUCUGAAACUUUUGACCAAAAUGUUUUAGAACACAGACAGGCCAAGAACUGACAUCAAGUCCUGAGUGUCGUUGCCAGAGCUAAUCACAGUAAGACAUAUUUUAACAAGGAAGGUUUAUUUUGCAUGAUGCUUUUGUUAAUUAUAUAGGAAUGCAUACAAUACUGUGGAGCAUUUAACAAAAAAAUUUGAGAAUGUUUUAAAUUUAAUUUCUAAGUUGUUUUUAAGCUCAUAUUGCUUAUGCAUGUAGCUUGUCUUUUUGAAAUGCUGGAAAGGGUUCUUCCUCUUGAGGAAGAAUUAGCAGACUAUUCUUUACAAAGAACAUUGGGAAAGCAAGGAAUCCAAUGAGUUUAUGGCAAUAAGAUGUGGAAAGCUAUAUUUCAUUAAUUUAUGAAUUUUAUUUUUGCAUUUUUCUUAUUUUAUUUUUGCUCUCAGUCUUUUUAAAUAUGAUGGUGAUUCGGAAAUGUAUUUCAUGAAUUUCUGUUCGAUUUUAUUUUUGCAUUCAGUGACUUUAAAUACAACAGUGAUGGGGGAAAGAGAAGUUGCAGCAAAAAAAAAAAAAUUCUGCUCCUAAGACUGUACAUGCCAGCAUAGGUCUGGAAUGGAUGCUCAUGGCUGCAUUAAUAAACUCUGACUGUGGAGGUUUCAAACAUGAAUUCUGACAGACCCUUCACUAUGACAAUACUAGUGGGAGUCACAAUAAUAUCAUCUGCUGCUGAACAUCGCUAGUAUGUGAGCACUGUUGUGCCAAAGGUUAAUAUGCCAGUUUUAUUUCCUUCUCUCUACAGCUAUAAUUUAAAUGAGUUGCACACAUAAGUGAUGUUAUAUGCAUAGGGUUUUGCAUUAAGUUUGCUAUGUCAGAUUUGUUUAUAAAAAUCAUAUUUUGAACCACUUGCCCAGGGGCUCCGUUCUGGGGAGCUGCAAGCUGAUUUCUUUUAAAGAGGCAGUUUUCAUUUUCCGUGGAUUUUCAGUAGAGAUUUUGGAACUCUGAACAGGGAGCUCAGUUUUAAAUUCAGCACUUGCCCAGGUUUACAAUUAGGUUUAAUUACUUAGCAACAGAGAGUCUAAUCUAGUUUUACAUGUGUGCCACAUGACCCUUUCCGUACCUUACUGGGAUUGGAAGGGCCCCCUGCCUCUCUUGGGGAAAAUUGCUUCCAACAUUUUGGAGACCGUUUACAAUGUUUUUGUUCUUAUGCUGCAAAGUUAACAUUGCCCAUAAACCUAAUAGUCACACAGUAGUUAAUAAGGGGCAGAAAGUUUUAUAGUCUUUUCCGCAGUUGUUAAAAUCCUGCUACUGUAGUUCAGUCCCAGCCACACAAAACCUACCAGUUGUGAAAAAUAGGAUGCUCUAUGUGUUGGUUUAUUCUUGGAAACCAAUGGAAGAGAGGACCUUUCCUGAGCAUCUAGCUGAACGUAAUGAACUUGGGGAUUAUUUAAAUUGCUUGGCUUGUAAUAUAAACACUCGAGGGCUUGCCAGCAGUGUACCUUCAGGAUGUGUGACUUUUCUAAAAAAAUCAUUUGGGAUUUUUUUUUUUUCACAACCCAUUGCAAUUAGUAGCACUAUGGCAAAGGAUGAUUUAUUAAAUUGCCUUUCAGUUAGAGGAAAUAGAAACCAUUAAUGAUGUUGCACAUGCAUUUUUAGUCAGGUUCAGCAAGAAUAAUUUUCUAGCUGUCUUUGUAUGUUAUGUAAACUAAGAACAUUCCCAGGGUACCAGCUGGAUCAUCCUUUGGGCCCUGUAGACCUUCAGAGUGGUUUUGACCUUCUCCUGCUGGAAAAGAUGCUGUGAAAAUGAGGUGCUUCUCGAAGUUAGUGAGACUUCCAGACUCAAACAUGAACUGAAAUGGGCUCAGAUGCAACUAGGCAUUGACUACUAGUACCCUCUGGUAUUUACUUCUGUUCCUUUACCAUGUGAACAGGGAGCAGGGAAGGCUAGAGCUGGGACAGAGUGGUCCUUGGAAGAAGUGGAAGACAGGAACAGCUUUGAUAAGGAAUGGUUCAAAAAUUUUUGUGAAAGGGAAUUUUCAAUGCCUCUGUUAAUAACUUAACAGUUACAUAAACAAACAAACAAACAACGACAAAAACUUGCAACCAUUAAUAAUCCAGAAUAUUUUUCUCAGAAGGUGCCUGUUCUGCUAGUACAUGGAAAACUAGUAUAGAGAUUAGUACGCAGUAGUGAGGAGUGGAGCCAGAGAGAAAUAAAAAAAAGCUUAUUUUUUAAAAAAUUAAAUACUAUGGACACCAUGAGCUCUUAAGCACAAUGAUACUACAUGCUGUCUAAAAGAGCAGAGUUCUAAUUACUUGGCUGCCAUAACUUUACUUCAGUGCUUAAAAUGUGAUUUCCUUUAGAUUUCAUCUUCUGCCUGUCUUGCCUGGGAUUGCAGAUCACUUUCUAUUACAUUUCUAAAAUGGAUUUUUCCACAGAUUACCAGUGUGUGCUUUGUUACUUACAGCUUAACAUUGUUCUCCCCUGCCAUCUCUGAGAAAAAGGAUGUGGGUUAUCUUGGAUAAGCUUGGCACUACCAACACAUAGCGUUUUCCAUCCUCUGAAAACUGUGUGUAGUCGAUGGAGUAGGAUUCUGCAGGUUUGGUGCUCAAUUUAGUGGGAUUUUUAAAUGCAGGGAACAGAUAGUUUAACAAUGAAGGGUGUGAAGGGUGUGAUGUGUUAGUGGUGGGCAGAUGCUUCGAGGGGAAAAGCCCAUGAACAGGGUUAGAGCUCUACACUUACUUCCCUGUGCGCUGUGCCAAAGUGUUACCCAAAUACCAUUCUAUAAUAGAAGUCUAAAAAGGGAAUGGUACUAUUCAUUAAGUAAUUUCUGACCCAUUGCCUGACUGCACUACUGGAUUAAUUUUGAAGCACACAUAUGGGAGUACCCUUGUAGUUAUCUGUCUAAAAAUACAGCACUACCAUUUCUGUGUUGGUUUUUAAAGAGUGGUUGCAUAAAACUUUAUCAAGAUGCUUAAUACACUGAGCCAUGAUCUCCUUGGGCUGGAAAAAUAGCAUUACAGUGGUUGCAAUGCCUUCAAGGUCUGGCACACUCCGUGCUCUGGAUGUGAUUCUGCACAUGUUUGAAAUUCCCAUAGCUGACAGGCUGGAUGCUAAUGGAGUGGGAAGGGAUAGGAGGUAGAAGCAGGUCCCUGUGCCUAACUCACCCCACACAGCCUGGCUUCCUUGCUCUUUGGGGCUCUGCACACCUGAUCUGGUGCCAAACACUUUCUGCUCAACCGUAGGGGUAAGCCAGAACAUCCUCUUUGUUGUCUUGAAGAAGCUGUGGGGAGAGCAGAAGAACUCCUUCCCUGACGUGCUCCUGGAUUCCCUAAAACUGUGUACAGCCCUUCAGUACAGGUCUGUCCCAAAGGUACAGUCUGCUGCUGUCUGACAGGCUUCUCCGAUCAAGAACUCAAGUGUUGCUCUGAAAAAGAGACUUGUCUUUGUCUGGUUUCUCAUAGGAAGAUACAAGCUGUCACGAUCCCUUGCCAAUCACAUGAGAACUGACCUAGGGAGAACAUCAACUGAAGAAGAAAACGUGGAGACGUGACCUGACAUUCAAAAUGAAACACUAAGACUGAAACGAAUAAUCCACCACUUGUGAUUUACUUUUUCAGUAUUUUUUUUUUUUAAAGCCAGUUCUCUGCUCUUUGAUCUGCUGCCUUGGGAUUUCUGAGUGCUUUAUCUUUCCAUGUGACAGUCACCUGCCAGUGAUGAUUUCGGAAAUGAGCAUUUCUCUACGAGUAGGAAACACAGGCGACUUGAACUCACAAGAAAGAAGUCAUAAAGUAUAUUACUCUCUAUAAAAAAUGGAAGACCUAGUUAUAGAAAAGACACCAUUUUUUGUGCCUUUCACUUGUUACCUUUCCCUGCUUCAGUAAAAGUUUCAGGUUGUCUUCUGACUGGAAAACAAAGAGUCAAAAAGUCCUGUGGCCUUUCUGCCCAUUACACUGCAGGGAAGACAAACCGCCUGGUCAUAGGACGAAUGUUGUCUUGGGUCACCAUCAAGAUCCUGACCUGCCUAGCUGAUGUGACACAAGGAAAGAGAAGGUCUUAAAAGACUUUUUGGAGUGGUUACUUUACAGCACCAGCAUUGUUACAUGUAUCAAUCUCAGGAAGAGCUCCUACUGAUCCUUCCUUCUGGAGUGACCUCACACUUUACAGCCCUCUGAACCAUCAUCACAUCCUCACCUGGCGCUGUGCGCCGAAG